This 229-nucleotide long non-coding RNA is filed under the name Monodelphis domestica (gray short-tailed opossum). RNAcentral describes it as "lncRNA (ENSMODG00000048174.1)". Lineage: Eukaryota; Metazoa; Chordata; Mammalia; Didelphimorphia; Didelphidae. The record is from RNAcentral.
GACUUUCACAUGAACUGUAAUAAGAUCAGAAUGGACAUUUAUCAUAUUCUUUUCUGCAACACUCCUGCCAACCUCUGACCACAUACAAGCUUGCUAUAGAAACAAGAUUCCUAUUGUCCCCAUGCCUUGAGAAUCACUGUAGAUCCCGAUGUCUGUUUCCUUCUGAUGAAUUGGUGGGGCAACUUUGAUGUAAGGGUCAUUCUCUACUUAUUCAGGGGCUAAUCAAACA